AAAAUUAUAAAGAAAUUCAAUGAGUUAGAAAAAAAUUAAAGAACCAAAACCCUUGAUAAUCAGCACCGCAUUCUCCAUCUUCCCACGCUCUCCAUCUUCCUUCCUUCUCACACCACGACUUCCACAGUUAAGAUCGAGAUCUAAAUCGAAUUCAGUCCAAUCCAAUAUGACCUCAAACCGAGGAAAAUUCCAAAAUUACAGAGUUCCCUUCAAUCCAAAUCCAGAGUUUUUCAUAUUUUCAAUUCUUCUCCGGCGAACGUUUCCGGGCAGCGACGUAUUAUCUGGCGAAGAUAUUCCCCGGCUGCGUACGUGUGGUUCAAUUAUCAAUUAUGAUUAAACUGUGUUGAUUGUUGAUUGUAUUAUUGGUCGAAGCUGUUGUUAACCAGAGUGCGAAAUCAGUUGAGAAACGCUAGAUAUUUGCCGGUUGCAGGUUGUUUUUCUUUCAUCAUCAACUUUAUUUUGUUCAAAUUUUGUUUAUGUAUUUUUUUUUUCUGGUGUAUAAGGAGCCAUGAAGAACAAUGGCGUAGCCAAUAAUCGUUAAAGGUACCACCUCCCGAGACUUUAACGAACUAAGCUAACCGGCCUCUAGAAAUUAUUUCUGUUAGUAAUUGUAUUGAAUUGGUGUUAAAGUUAUACCUUCAGCUAAUUGGAAAAAGAUGAAAAGAUAAGGGUAGUAUGUAAAAGUAAUAGAAAGCUGAUUUCCGUUUUUUUCUUGCAUUUACUGAGGAAUGUUGGAUCUCGUUUAAUCUGUUUUAUAAGCUGAAUCAGUUGUGUUUGUUAGAGUAUAAUGCUUUUGUGGUACUUUUCUCACAUGUCUUUAAUGUCAUGACUCAUGAUUAACAUGAUGCUAGUCUAAAAGGUAUGCAGAUUGGGUUGAUGAAUUGAAGUACAUAUAAUGUGGGUUGUUUUGAUCUGAUUAUAUGUUAUUUGUUUUCGUUGGCUUUGUAGGCAUGGAUUACACUGAUCCAAAGCGGAAGGGUAAUGUCGUGGGUAAAAUAGUCGUAGCUGCUGGGUUAAUUGCAUUUUGCCUUAUUAUGAUCAAUCAGUCUCAACAUCCCGAGCCAAUUUCAUCUCAAAUACUGGACAGAGCAAAUUUGGCUCAAAGAAAUUCAGAAAUACCUGGCACUGCUUGCCCCAGUGAAGUUAUACAUGAAGUGAACCAGGAAGACUUCAGUUUGUAUAUGCUGUAUAUGCUGAUCUGGAGAUGCUAAUGGUUUAUCCUUAUCGUGGCAGGCCAUCGUCUAGGUGCUAUUAUUUUUUCCUUUGGGCCUUCUCUAUCAAAAUUAGAGAUAAUAUCAAUUGGAUUCAACAAAAUUAUAUAGAAUAUUUGAAGAUGUCGUAUUUUUCUUUGUUCAUUUAUGUCUAUAUGGGUUGUUACUAAUUAUGUUAACUUUCUUAUUUUAUAGUACAUUCAUGAUUGCAAUGUUUCGAAUUAUGAUCAAGAGCAAAUUGAUGAAGUGGACGUGUCAUGUUCUUCUCGUGUGAA
Molecule: RNA transcript, 1486 nt
Organism: Spinacia oleracea (spinach)
Lineage: Eukaryota; Viridiplantae; Streptophyta; Magnoliopsida; Caryophyllales; Amaranthaceae
Exons: 3
Source: RefSeq, a predicted model, not a curated record